GUUUUGAAUUGAACUCGUCUCUUUCUUCCUCUCUAACAUCAUCAAUGGCGUCUCCUUAAACAUCAAAAAUGGAAAAAGAUUCAAUCUUUAUCCACGUGAAAUCAAAUUAUCUUCUCUCCCUCUUUUGCUCUCUAAACAAAUGCCAAGCGUAAUUGCCAAACUCUAUAGCGUUUUCUUCAAAUAUCACCAAAAGCACCUUCUGCAGAGCCUGUCACAACCUCCUUUCAGCGAUAAAGCGGGCCCUUUUGGCUUAACCUCUCGGCCCCAUGAAUCUAUUGCCCCCAGCAAUCCUUUAUUCACUGACGGUGUCGCCACCAAGGACAUCCACGUCGACCCCUUUUCUUCUCUCUCUCUCCGCAUCUUCCUCCCUGAAACUGCUCUCGCUUCCCCAUUGGCUACUCGCCGUGAUUACUAUGUACCCACUUAUGGAGGGUAUUCGCCGCCGGCGGGUAAGUUCAACAGGAAGUUGCCUGUGAUGUUGCAGUUUCACGGAGGUGGGUUUGUGAGUGGGAGCAAUGAGUCGGUGGCAAACGAUGCUUUUUGCAGGAGGAUAGCCAAGUUGUGCGACGUAAUUGUUGUUGCUGUUGGGUAUAGAUUGGCACCUGAGAGUAAGUACCCGGCUGCUUUUGAAGAUGGCCUCACGGUUUUGAAUUGGUUGGCCAAGCAGGCAAAUUUGGCUUCUUGUAGGAGAUUGAGUCUUCAAAGCCGUAUUUUUGAUAGCUUUGGCGCUUCCAUGCUUGAGCCUUGGCUUGCAGCUCAUGGAGACCCUUCCAGGUGUGUAUUACUUGGGGUGAGCUCUGGUGCAAAUAUAGCAGAUUAUGUGGCAAGAAAGUCUGUAGUGGCAGGCAAGCUAUUGGAUCCUGUUAAGGUUGUGGCCCAAGUACUGAUGUACCCUUUCUUCAUUGGAAGCACCCCCACACGUUCUGAAGUUAAGCUGGCAAACUCAUACUUCUAUGACAAGGCUAUGUGCAAACUGGCAUGGAAACUCUUCCUACCUGAAGAAGAAUUCAACCUAGAUCAUCCAGCUGCCAACCCUCUCCUCCGUGGGAGACAACCACCUCUUAAGUACAUGCCGCCAUCGCUAAUAGUUGUGGCAGAACAUGACUUUAUGAGAGACCGGGCCAUUGCUUACUCAGAAGAACUACGGAAAGUUAAUGUGGAUGCGCCCCUCCUUGAUUACAAGGAUGCAGUGCAUGAAUUUGCUACACUUGAUGUGCUUCUCCAGACACCGCAGGCCAAAGCAUGUGCAGAGGAUAUCUCUAUAUGGGUGAAGAAGUAUGUAUCUCUUAGAGGCCAUGAGUUCUCUUACUGAAUGAAUACGAAAGGUAAAAACAGAUUAUGAUGGGAAAAGAUUUGUUUUAUUGGCGUAGAAGCACGGUUACCCCUUUGUCAUUUAUGAUGUUGGAGAGGAGCAGCAUUCUUGUAAAUAUGCUGGGGAUAAUAGCUUCCAGCCAGUUUUCCAUUAGUUACUACUUAUGUGAGGAUUUGUUUCCUUUCUUGUAAAGAAUAUAGUGUUUAUCAGAACUUGGGAUUUUCUGGAAUUUUAGAUUGUUGUUCCCUAUAUAUACUACAAACAUUCUUUUUUCAACUCUUCAUUUCAUUGUUUAGUUGUAUCGGGUAAUAAAACAAAAGA
RNAcentral lists this unclassified non-coding RNA (1633 nucleotides) under Hevea brasiliensis (rubber tree). The record is from RNAcentral. Lineage: Eukaryota; Viridiplantae; Streptophyta; Magnoliopsida; Malpighiales; Euphorbiaceae.